GACCUGAUAGCACAAUGUCGAGUGCGUCUGCUCCAUAUCGUUCUGCCAGAGUGCUACCAUUUAAGCAGGAGACCCCGGUUCAAGUCCGGGUCAGGUCA
Mycena epipterygia is the source of this 98-nucleotide non-coding RNA. NCBI's taxonomy places the organism in Eukaryota, Fungi, Basidiomycota, Agaricomycetes, Agaricales, Mycenaceae. The record is from the annotation of a GenBank genome assembly.